RNAcentral lists this ribosomal RNA (397 nucleotides) under uncultured bacterium. Its description in RNAcentral is "partial 16S ribosomal RNA". It matches the Rfam family "Bacterial small subunit ribosomal RNA", at positions 338 to 732 of the family's 1533-position model. The record is from RNAcentral.
CCUACGGGAGGCAGCAGUGAGGAAUAUUGGUCAAUGGCCGGAAGGCUGAACCAGCCAAGCCGCGUGAAGGACGAAGGUGCCAAGCAUUGUAAACUUCUUUUGUCAAGGGACAAAAUCAGGCUCGAGAGCCUGACCGAGGGUACUUGAAGAAAACGCAUCGGCUAACUCCGUGCCAGCAGCCGCGGUAAUACGGAGGAUGCGAGCGUUAUCCGGAUUUAUUGGGUUUAAAGGGUGCGUAGGCGGGGUGUUAAGUCUGGGGUAAAAGCCCGGGGGCUAACCCCGGCGAGCCGGUGGAGCCUGGGCAGCUGGAGAGGAGGGGAGGUAUGCGGAAUUCGCAGUGUAGCGGUGAAAUGCUUAGAUAUUGGGAAGAACACCGGUGGCGAAGGCGGCUUACCGG